Molecule: ribosomal RNA, 914 nt
Filed under: uncultured bacterium
Lineage: Bacteria
Description: bacterial SSU rRNA
Rfam family: Bacterial small subunit ribosomal RNA
Source: RNAcentral
ACGCUGGCGGCAGGCUUAACACAUGCAAGUCGAACGGUAACAGGGAUUAGCUUGCUAAUUUGCUGACGAGUGGCGGACGGGUGAGUAAUGCUUGGGAAUCUGGCUUAUGGAGGGGGAUAACUACGGGAAACUGUAGCUAAUACCGCGUAAAAUCUUCGGAUUAAAGGGUGGGACUUUCGAGCCACCUGCCAUAAGAUGAGCCCAAGUGGGAUUAGGUAGUUGGUUAGGUAAAGGCUGACCAAGCCGACGAUCUCUAGCUGGUCUGAGAGGAUGACCAGCCACACUGGAACUGAGACACGGUCCAGACUCCUACGGGAGGCAGCAGUGGGGAAUAUUGCACAAUGGGGGGAACCCUGAUGCAGCCAUGCCGCGUGAAUGAAGAAGGCCUUCGGGUUGUAAAGUUCUUUCGGCGACGAGGAAGGUUGAUAGGUUAAUAGCCUAUCAAAUUGACGUUAAUCACAGAAGAAGCACCGGCUAACUCCGUGCCAGCAGCCGCGGUAAUACGGGGGGUGCGAGCGUUAAUCGGAAUAACUGGGCGUAAAGGGCACGCAGGCGGUGACUUAAGUGAGAUGUGAAAGCCCCGGGCUUAACCUGGGAAUUGCAUUUCAUACUGGGUCGCUAGAGUACUUUGGGGAGGGGUAGAAUUCCACGUGUAGCGGUGAAAUGCGUAGAGAUGUGGAGGAAUACCGAAGGCGAAGGCAGCCCCUUGGGAAUGUACUGACGCUCAUGUGCGAAAGCGUGGGGAGCAAACAGGAUUAGAUACCCUGGUAGUCCACGCUGUAAACGAUGUCGAUUUGGGGAUUGGGCUUUGAGCUUGGUGCCCGUAGCUAACGUGAUAAAUCGACCGCCUGGGGAGUACGGCCGCAAGGUUAAAACUCAAAUGAAUUGACGGGGGCCCGCACAAGCGGUGGAGC